AGGCUGACGCGAGCCUGUGCGAAGUGGGCUGAAAUUCAAGUCCCGUUUGGAGGAGUUUGGGGAUUAUGGUUUAGGACAUUGAGGACUUCGGAAUCCUGAACCGUGAAAGUCUGAGCUGGGCUGUCACAAGUUCAACAGGACCCCUCAUCAUCCAAUUCAUGGGACCGCUGUUGCUGCUCCUGAUAUAAGUUCUCUUUCUGAGGCCCUGACACCUUUAAUCACAAGACCUAGACUCUGCAGUUCCAUGUGUCUGUGCGCUUUCAGAAGACAGUAGGGGUUUAAGCAACACAGAGUUCUGGAGGCAGCAUCGGCAGGGGUGCCAGACUUCUGGAGACAAAGCAAAAUUUUUACAAAUGCAGUGAGUCUCUUAAGAGUGAAGAGGAGGAAAAUCCAGGUUAAAGAAGAAAGGAAGGAAGGAAAAAUGGGAAGAAGGAAGGAAGAGAGGGAAGAAAGGAAAGGAAAUGCUUAUAAACGAAGAAAGAAAAUGCUCCCCAGGAAAUUUUUACUAUGCACCAAUUUGGGGAGUCUCUAAUCCAGUGGUUUUUUAAAGUGUUUCCUCAACCAGGAACUUCAGCGUCACCUGGAAACUUGUUGGAAAUACAGCAUCUCCAGCCCCGCCGUAGGCCCGCUGAAUGGGAAAUCCUGAGGAUGAGGCCCAGCACUGUGUUUUAACAAGCCCUCCAGGGGAUUCUGACAGUCACUAAAGUUUGUGUCUUGCUGCCCUGGCCGAAAGCAUGUUUGUUUUUCAGUAAAGGCACAUCCACAUAUGACAGGCCCCAAAGAGAGGUGUCAUCUCUCUGGAAGUUUUGUUGCUCUUUCUCUGGUUCUCACAACACCAGGAAGAGUGGGCAAAACUAAAUUGUACUCUGGUUAUUGCAUACAUACCUCAUCAGUUUCCUAACUUACAGUAAAAUACGUUUGAGGUGAAUACAUGUGUUACUUAUCUGUACACCUCACAGCAAAAAUUAGUGUAAUGCCUUAUACAGUCAGUAAACAUUUGUUAAUGAACAAAAUAAACUGUCCUCUUAUAAAAAUCAAGUUUUCUGUUUGGAAGUUACAAAGGCAUCCAGGUCAGAUGAUGGCUCUUUAAUUACUGUCUGUGGGCACAUGUUCAUCUAAUAUUGCAAAUAUGAUGUGUGUGUUUACAGCUAAGUGGAAGUUAAUUUUCACAAUCAAGGUAAACAAGAAAAAUUAAGUAUUCUACUAAUUUCAGGUCAACAGCAUCCUUUUCCUAUACUAAGGAAUCUUCCAAGCAGAAAAGUUGAUUUUUAUAAGAGAACAGUUUAUUAGUUCAGUCCCAGGUUCUUAAAACAUACUCGGUAAAUCGUGACUGAUGAUGAUUAUGUUGAUAUCAGGGUUAUCAUGUCUUUUGAUAAAGACCUCACUGGGAGGGUGGGGUAUAGCAUGUGCUCAGCAUACGCAAGGUCCUGGGUUCAAUCCCCAGUACCUCCAUUUAAAAAAAAAAGUCACUGGGAAAUUUUAUGUCAUUCCUGACAACCUAAAACACACUUAUGCUGCUCAGAAAUUGGAAAACCAGAAAAAGUACAUUACGUGUUAUUACUGAAACAUGAUGAAUUUUGAAAAUGCUAAGAAAGACCAUAAAAUCAAACAGAGGCAGCCAAGAGCAAUUUCUUUCAUGACCACAGACCUAUAGGGCUCAGUUCAUCAAUAUUAGAAUUGUAUGUGUGUAGCUCAAUGGUUGUUAAGCUGCUUCUCUACAAACUACAAAUUAAUAUUAAUGAGAAAUUCAGUGGCAUUCAGCAGCAGCGUUCUGUCACUGUGCUAGAGUAAUCAUUGAUUUUAAUUUAAAAUAUUAAUGCAAUGCAGUUUUUUGUCAGCUUAAAGCUACAAUUGCACAGAAACAGCAAGUCCUAAGUCAGUGAGACUCUAUUAUAGGAGAUUUGAAAGCAAAACUGUCAACAGUGACUGGUUAGUAAGAAAUGAACUGCUCUCCAGCAAUUGGCCUAUGAUUAUGAAUGAUUACAUCCUUCCUAAUGAAUAACUGACCCCUGGGGUUAUUUGCUUUGCAGUUUUGGACCAAUCUGUUUAAAGAGCUGAAGGGCUGCCUGGUGUCAGAGGUGGAAUGGUUCAUUCUGAACAAGAAAUUCAAUCAUGAGGCCGAGGAACAGAGCCACCCAAACCAGCUGGCACUUUGUGCCAGAGGAGAGAAGAGCCAAUAGAAGAACUUGGGAAGGCAUGAGAGCAGAUGAGCAGCAACCUUUGUGAAGAAGCAGCAUCUCGGUGUGAGAGGCCUGAUGGGACGUUGACGAGUGUUACGGACCCAGCCCUACUUUUUACGACUGAAGGAGCAAAAACAGCGUGUUCUAGUGAUCUCAGAGUAGAGAAAAAAGACUUUUCUUAAAGGGAAGCUCUUUAAUCAAGGUAUGAUGCCAAAGCCUAAUUAGCAGAAACCAGACUCAGUCUCUCUUCAGGACCUCAGACCAAAAACUGUAUCAGAUGAAUGACAAUAUACAAGGAGAGAUCCUCUCUCCUUUUUCUUGCCUAACUCCAGGCUGCUGCUUGGUGUCUUGUUUCUAAAGCCUAUUUCCUAUUUCUUAGGGUAAAGGAUAAGCCCUGUUAUUAAUUUUGUUAUUAACACUAAAAGGCUUAUAAAUCACCUGCCUCUGAUAGGAAAUCAACAUCAGAAUAAUUUCUGGUGAAGUAUAUGUCUGGAUAUUUUGCCAUGCCUGACACAAAGUUAUGAUGAUGGAGUUUGAAGUGAAAAUUUCUUUUGAAGUCAUUGAAUUGGUGUUCCUCAUUCCCACUUAACUUUAUAAAGCAACAUACACAUUUGUAAAUUUUAUUUUUUCAUAAAGAAAAAAAUGAAAAUGCCAUAAAAUGCCAUUGGCUUUAAUUCUACAUGUUAAUUAAACUUGAUUUCUGAAGCAAUAGAUGUCAAUUUACAGGGUGAUUUUUCUUAAAAAAUAAAAAGCAAACAAUUAUUUGUUGACAUUAUGCUAUCCUUCAAAAGGUAAGGGCUAAGUUAAAUUCAGUAUAACAAAGGAACACCUAGUUAAUUGCCUGUAACGCCAUAUAAGCGAUAAUAUUAAUGAUGUAAUAAUGAGAUUUUUCCCCAGCAGAGAUAGGAAGAUAAGAUGUAGGUAUUGAACAGAAAAAUAAAUGCAUGUUAUUGAGCCUAAUAUUUCUAUUUGCUUCCAGUAGGUACAAACAAUAUACUCUGAAAAGCCUUAUGUUUAAUUCAAAGAAAGUACUGUUUCUCCAAAUAUUCAAAUGUGAUGAAAAGUGAAACUAUUAACACUAUUUCUACCUUUAAAAUGCUGUAUUUACAAAAAGCUUUGUAUGUUUGUAUAAUAUUUUGAAUGUCCAUGCACUAUAUGGAGCAUGGAUUAUUACAUUGGCAAAAAUGCUACAUUACGUGUAUUUUGGGAACAAGAUAGAGUAGAAAUAUUAAAAUUAAUAAGAAUGAGAAUAUUAAUAUGAACAUGUUUUACACAUCUCUAUAAAUUUUCAUUUUAUAUACAUGAAUGAUUAAAUACACAUUAUGCAUUUAUAAAUGGUAAUAUAAAUAGAAAAAUAACCACGGGCAGAAGGGGGACUACAUUGAAAAAAAGGCUUCACAAAAUGAUGACAAUGUAUGUACUUAUUUACAUAAAAUUAUAAAUGUGUGGGUAGAAAAAUUAGACGUAAAAAUUCCAACAGAAGCUAUUGACUUAUAGAAAGUCCAUGACAAAUUGUCCAUGAAAAAUAUUAGAGUUUAAAGUCUAUAAAUUAUAUUAUAUAAUGGAUAAAAGCAAACAGUGAAACAAGAAAGAGAAACCAGAGACAUUUGUGUAUAGAUGAUUAUACUUGCCUGUUUAACAAGGAGACGAUAUGAAAGGAUACAGACUGGCCCGUUAACAAUGGGUACCCCAGGAGACAAGGAAGCCAGGCGAGUGUUAGCAUUUCCUUUACACAUCUGUGUAUUAUUUCACUUAUGUAAACAUGCACUAGCAAUUUUUUCACAUUUAAAUCUUUUGUUGAAAUAAAACAGAAAACUACACAUA
Vicugna pacos (alpaca) is the source of this 4004-nucleotide non-coding RNA. Lineage: Eukaryota; Metazoa; Chordata; Mammalia; Artiodactyla; Camelidae. The record is from RefSeq and is a predicted model, not a curated record.